This 97-nucleotide ribosomal RNA is filed under the name Bacillota bacterium. Its description in RNAcentral is "partial 16S ribosomal RNA". It matches the Rfam family "Bacterial small subunit ribosomal RNA", at positions 1 to 93 of the family's 1533-position model. The record is from RNAcentral. Lineage: Bacteria; Bacillati; Bacillota.
UUUUUAGAGAGUUUGAUCCUGGCUCAGGACGAACGCUGGCGGCGUGCCUAACACAUGCAAGUCGAACGGAGUUGAAAGGAGCUUGCUUUUUUCAACU